Molecule: ribosomal RNA, 468 nt
Filed under: uncultured bacterium
Lineage: Bacteria
Description: partial 16S ribosomal RNA
Rfam family: Bacterial small subunit ribosomal RNA
Source: RNAcentral
GACGAACGCUGGCGGCGUGCUUAACACAUGCAAGUCGAACGGAAAGGCCCUGCUUUUGUGGGGUGCUCAAGUGGCGAAAGGGUGAGUGUCACGUGAGUAACCUGCCCUUGUCUUUGGGGUACCUUCAGUAAACUCGGGCUAAAACAGGGUAGGAGCUCCUGCAGCAUGGUGUGGGUGGGUAAGAUUCGCCGGUUGGGGAUGGACUCGCGGUUUAUCGGCUUGUUGGUGGGGUAGUGGCUUACCAAGGCUCUGACGAGUAGCCGGCCUGCGAGGGUGACCGGCCACAAUGGGACUGAGAAGGGAGCCGGACUCCUACGGGAGGCAGCAGUGGAAGAUAUUGCGCAAUGGGCGGAGGGCGUGAGCAGCAUCUCCGCGUGGGAGAUGACGGCCGGUGGGUUGUAAACCGCGUGCGCCUGUAACGAAGCGUAAGUGACGGUAAUGGGUAAAGAAGCAACGGCUAACUACGUG